Molecule: ribosomal RNA, 463 nt
Filed under: uncultured bacterium
Lineage: Bacteria
Description: partial 16S ribosomal RNA
Rfam family: Bacterial small subunit ribosomal RNA
Source: RNAcentral
GAUGAACGCUGACGGAGUGCUUAACACAUGCAAGUCGAUGGGAAAGUGGUGCUUGCACCAUGGUACCCAUGGCGGACGGGUGAGUGACGCGUAAGAAACUUGCCUGCGUGACUUGGAUAACAGCAGAGAACUGCUGAUAAUACCGGGUAAGGUCAUUAAGCUGCCUUGCUGGGUGAUGAAAGGAGGCGCCUGCGGGGAGCCGUGCGUCCUAUUAGCUAGUUGGGGGGGUAGCGGCCCACCAAGGCGAAGAUAAGGAGCCGGCGUGAGGGGGUGGACGGCCACGAGGGGACUGAGAUACGGCCGUUACUCCUACGGGAGGCAGCAGGGGGGAAUAUUGGACAAUGGGGGCAACCGUGAUCCAGAAAUUCUGUGUGCACGAAGACGGUUUUCGGAGUGAAAAGCGCUUUCAGCAGGGAAGAAGGAAGUGACGGUACCUGCAGAAGAAGCGACGGCUAAAUACGUG